GAUGAACGCUGGCGGCGUGCCUAAUACAUGCAAGUCGAGCGAACAGACGAGGAGCUUGCUCCUCUGACGUUAGCGGCGGACGGGUGAGUAACACGUGGAUAACCUACCUAUAAGACUGGGAUAACUUCGGGAAACCGGAGCUAAUACCGGAUAAUAUAUUGAACCGCAUGGUUCAAUAGUGAAAGACGGUUUUGCUGUCACUUAUAGAUGGAUCCGCGCCGCAUUAGCUAGUUGGUAAGGUAACGGCUUACCAAGGCAACGAUGCGUAGCCGACCUGAGAGGGUGAUCGGCCACAAUGGAACUGAGACAAGGUCCAGACACAUACGGGAGGCAGCAGUAGGGAAGCUUACGCAAUGGGAGAAAGACUGACGGAGCAACGAAGCGUGAGUGAUGAAGGUAUUAGGAUCGUAAAACUCUGUUAUGAGGGAAGAACAAAUGUGUAAGUAAAUAUGCACGUCUUGACGGUACCUAAUCAGAAAGCCACGGCUAACUACGUG
This 497-nucleotide ribosomal RNA is filed under the name uncultured bacterium. RNAcentral's name for it is "partial 16S ribosomal RNA". It matches the Rfam family "Bacterial small subunit ribosomal RNA", at positions 28 to 507 of the family's 1533-position model. The record is from RNAcentral.